This is a non-coding RNA of Daphnia pulex (common water flea), 45 nucleotides long. The record is from Rfam. NCBI's taxonomy places the organism in Eukaryota, Metazoa, Arthropoda, Branchiopoda, Diplostraca, Daphniidae.
CAAACGGCCCUUUUCAGGGCCACAACAUUUUCAUGAAAUGAAAAA